Molecule: ribosomal RNA, 938 nt
Filed under: Gavia immer (great northern loon)
Lineage: Eukaryota; Metazoa; Chordata; Aves; Gaviiformes; Gaviidae
Description: partial 16S ribosomal RNA
Rfam family: Bacterial large subunit ribosomal RNA
Source: RNAcentral
AUMAAGAGCUAUUUAAAGGGGGUACAGCCCCUUUUAAAGAAGGACACGCCUUCCCUAGCGGAUAACUUACCCAACCCCACCCCCUAAACUUGUAGGCCCUUAAGCAGCCAUCAGCAAAGAGUGCGUCAAAGCUCCACACCCCAAAAAUCUGAAGACUGUACGACUCCCUUACCACCAACAGGCCAACCUAUAACAAUAGAAGGAUUAAUGCUAAAAUAAGUAACUAGGGCCUCUCACCCUCUCAGGCGCAAGCUUACAUGAUUCCAUUAUUAACAGGCUAACUAAUACCGCAACUUUGACAAGACAAAAUAUUGAACCCGUCCUGUUAACCCAACUCAGGAGCGCCCAUAAGAAAGAUUUAAAUCUGCAGAAGGAACUAGGCAAACCCAAGGCCCGACUGUUUACCAAAAACAUAGCCUUCAGCCAACCAAGUAUUGAAGGUGAUGCCUGCCCAGUGACCCCACGUUCAACGGCCGCGGUAUCCUAACCGUGCGAAGGUAGCGCAAUCAAUUGUCCCAUAAAUCGAGACUUGUAUGAAUGGCUAAACGAGGUCUUAACUGUCUCCUGUAGAUAAUCAGUGAAAUUGAUCUUCCUGUGCAAAAGCAGGAAUAGGCACAUAAGACGAGAAGACCCUGUGGAACUUAAAAAUCAGCGGCCACCACACAUUUAACUCCUAAGCCUACUAGGCCCGCACACCCCCUCCAAACACUGGCCCGCAUUUUUCGGUUGGGGCGACCUUGGAGAAAAACGAAUCCUCCAAAAAUAAGACCACACCUCUUAACCAAGAGCAACAUCUCAACGUACCAACAGUAACCAGACCCAGCACAAGCCUGACUAAUGGACCAAACUACCCCAGGGAUAACAGCGCAAUCUCCUUCAAGAGCCCAUAUCGACGAGGAGGUUUACGACCUCGAUGUUGGAUCAGGACAUCCUAAUGG